UCUGCCGGCGGAAGGACGGAGGCGCUCCGGGGGUGCCGGUGGUGCAGUGUGCGACAGAAUGUGUUGUCUUUUGUCACCACCGCCACCUAAAAUGGGCUGGGUAUAUUUGCUUCCCCCGCCUCGCAGUAGAGAAGGAGAGGCGAUUCCCCUUGAUACGAUGCAGGCAGGUCUGUUCCUUGGCUGGGAAGCUUCGUACUGGCAGUACGCUCUAAGCACGUUCAGAAAGUAAUUUUUUUUUUUAAGGCGUACCGUAAGGAUAAGCUUUCAGACAGCCUGGAAUUACUGUGCAACCUAAAGAGCGAAAUGAGGUAACACUUAUUUCAUAAGGUCGUGUCGUACAAGGAAUAGAAACGCAAACUGAAUUGAGCCAAUUCUUGUGUGCCAUUCCCCCUCUCCUUUUCUUGUUCUGAUGUUAAUGGCUGCUGAAAGGCUGUGUCAUCUCAAAGGAUCAAAAGGAUCCCAAAAACCCAAAAGGCUGUCAUGUCACAUAGUUGGUUUUUUUUGUUGUUGUUGUUUUUUCCUUUUUUUUUUUUUUUUUUUUUUUUUUUUCCUCCAAAUCCACUCACUGUCUAAUAACCUGGGCAGACCUUUGUUUCCUCCCCAUUUCUCUCUGAGGCCCGAGGCUUUGCAGAAGGCCAGCGUCAGUGGUGCUGGGCAGCGUGAGGGCUGCUCUGUGCUUCCAGAGCCUGCAGCUUCAGCAUAGGAAACUUUGCUGGAGUGGUAGAACAAGACCCUGCUUGAGGCAAAACUGUAGGGGUUUGUAUUGCCAGACUGCGUUUCUGAUCUAGACCAAGCUUUAGUAGAAGAAAUUCACUAUGUAGUACUUUUGUGAGAAGAAUCUUUGAUGAGCUGCAGUAAUUCAUGGGAAUGAAUUUUGCAUGAGAAUUUCAUCUCCAGAGGCUGCUGUGAGUCUAAAGCAUUUAACUGCAGCAAUUACCCAAGUGUGCCCAGGAAACCUCUGGUUCACAGGGUGUUAUUAACCUCUCACAGAUAUGAAUAUCAGCUGCACACAAUAUGUUAAAUGGCUAACAUUCACAAGGCAUGUGCAGAUUUGUUGUGAGGGCUACUUACUAUAUCAAGCAUAGGAUAUAAAGCUGAAAAGAGAAUUUUCAUCUUUUUCCAGGUUUCAACCCAGACCUACAUUUCAAUUUUACCACAAUUCAGGAGCAGAAAUCAGUUAGGCCCAAUUAGGAUAAAUUCAGCUAUUAAGUCUAAAUUCUAGAAUAGACACAGAUACCUUAAAGGUUUAAGUUUGUUUGAGUUGCCUUAAAAACAACAGAUGAAUCAGUAUCAGAGAAUACCAUUGUGCUCUAAGCAAUGAAGGCCUUUUUUGUAUAUGUGCAAGAACAGCUAUUUUAAUUUUGUAGGUAUUUUUCUGACGGAGUUCUUUGGGCACAGCCUUCGUGGCCAAAGCUGCGUGAAGAGCAACGGCAGUAGAAGACUGUCCUGAUUGUGGCACGAUGGUUUUAGUUAAUAGAGACGGGUUUUAGGCGUGCACAGGCAGCGCUUCAGGCUCCGAUUUCACGCCUGGGCCGUUGCCGGCUUUGCCAGCAGGUGGCAGAGGCUGAUCAGCGCUCUGCCCCCCUGAUCUGGGGAACGCGCCCUGGGGACACCGCAUCUGCCUGGCAAGGUUAAGCCCUGCUUACCACAAUAAUCUUAUCAGCUGAAACUGUUUCUACAGAACUGGACCCUUAACAAAAUUGAGAUGCAAGCGCUUGAAAUAUGGUAAAAGUUAGACCAUUGUAGGCUUUAAUUAUAUGUAAGCAUGGCAAAACAGGCUUGGGAGGGGGAAGACUUGAAAAACUUGGGCGUCUGGAUUGUUAUUUGUGUUACUGCUUAAUUUACUGGCGUACAACUGAUCCUUCAGAGAAGAAGCCGAGUGCUGUGCACAGAGCCUGACCUGAGUUACACCAGGAUAUCUGUAAUGACAGCAGCAAAGCUGUUCUGGGUGUUUACCAGUACAGGUUCAAAGUCUCAUUUGAGGGCCCUGAUCUUCAUAGGGAUGUCAGUUUCUACUGCUGAAAGACAGUUGAUUGACACUGGAUUUUUUUUGAUGGAUAACGAAGUCUCUGAGUGAAGGACACAGUGGAAAAUAAUAAUGGCUAAAUAUAACAAGAAAGCAUUUAUUUCAACAAUUCAGUCUUUCUAAUAAUAAAUGCUUUCAAGAAUAAAGAAUGUUGCUAUUUUUCUGCAUGACACAAGAAAGGGUUUUGACCUAGGGCAAAGGAGAGAGGGAGAGCUUCAGUAUCAUUUACAGAGUGCUCAAAUGGUUGUUUAGGAGUAGCCACAAGGUUUACAUGCUGUUUGCAUUCAUUGUCCAAUAUUUCAAGGGAAUUUGUCUAAAGAAUUAAGUGUCGUGUACAACUCUUUAAAUAAACAAAAGGAAAGUAAUACAGAUCUCUGUAUGAUUAGGUGAUCCCUAGCUGCUGCUCACACAGAGUAGCAACUGGAGGCUCAAUUAUAUUUCUUAAUUAGAAUUUAGCACAAAGUUACUUGGAUUUUAUGAACAUAUAAGCUGCAUUGCCAAGAGCCACACAUGUUUUAUUUAAGAGGACUUAUAAAUAUGGUGAGUACAACCUAUUAGAGAGUCAAAAGUGACUUCAAAAGAAGUAAGUAAAUAGCACCUUAAAGAGAUGUAGGGUUCAUUUGAUAUUUUAACCUUAUGCCAUUCAAAUAAUAGAAAUCUCAAAUUUAAGGAGCAGUUUUGGGUAAGGCCUGAUCCUGCUAUGAGUAGCUAUGAGUGGUCUUCACUAAUGAGUGGAAAGGGCAAAUUCUUUGCAGUUUCCUGUGUAUUGGAUACUCAGUUGUUCACCACCAUGCAAACUUUGUGUUCCCAGCAAACCAUAAAUGUAAACCGGUAACUUUUAGAAAGCUAAACCCAGCUUAAUCCUUUUUCUUAUUAUUACUUUACUGAUGACCUUCCUUUUGCACCAUCAGUUCUGUUCUCAUGCCAAAACUAAUACAUAGUAAGGAUAAAGAGCAUUUAAAGCCUUCACUAACAGGUUUGCUUAGCUGACAAUCUUUCUCAUACAGCCCAGCUACAUCCACAAUGUCAUCACUGGAAGGACACUGGGCUGGAUUGUGAAGCCUGCUCCUCGUUGUGAAAGCUAUAAAGUUCACUGCCAGAUAACAAGACUGAAAGCUAAUUCAGGAACUGUUUCUCAAGAGCUAUCCUCUGGCCUCCCUCAUCAGAGUGAAUGCACUCACUCACUGAAGCAUCUUUUGGCAGCAGCUUUGGCCUUCCUCCAGCUGUUUCUCUCUUCUCAGGGAUUUUCUUGUUCAGUGACUGGUUGUGGUCUUUAAUCCUGGUUAUCUUGUACAAGGAGCCCCACUGAGAAAAGAAGCCUUCCCCGCCAUGGAACAGCCAAAUUAAAGCACAUUUGUAAAAAUCAUAA
Cyanistes caeruleus (blue tit) is the source of this 3395-nucleotide non-coding RNA. NCBI's taxonomy places the organism in Eukaryota, Metazoa, Chordata, Aves, Passeriformes, Paridae. The record is from RefSeq and is a predicted model, not a curated record.